GGGUCAGUAGGUCGGUCGUGCCACCGGUACGUACUGGUCUCACUGAUUCCUCCUUCCUGAAGAACCGUAAUGCCAUUAAUUUGGUGUUGCGGGGAAACAGGACUGUUACUUUGAAAAAAUUAGAGUGUUUAAAGCAAGCUAACGCUUGAAUACAUUAGCAUGGAAUAAUGAAAUAGGACGAUCGAUCCUGUUUUGUUGGUUUCUAGGAUUGACGUA
Molecule: ribosomal RNA, 216 nt
Filed under: Glomeromycotina sp.
Lineage: Eukaryota; Fungi; Glomeromycota
Description: partial small subunit ribosomal RNA
Rfam family: Eukaryotic small subunit ribosomal RNA (bases 40-216)
Source: RNAcentral